Molecule: ribosomal RNA, 163 nt
Filed under: uncultured bacterium
Lineage: Bacteria
Description: partial 16S ribosomal RNA
Rfam family: Bacterial small subunit ribosomal RNA
Source: RNAcentral
UAGGGAAUCUUCCACAAUGGACGAAAGUCUGAUGGAGCAACGCCGCGUGAGUGAAGAAGGGUUUCGGCUCGUAAAACUCUGUUGUUAAAGAAGAACAUAUCUGAGAGUAACUGUUCAGGUAUUGACGGUAUUUAACCAGAAAGCCACGGCUAACUACGUGCCG